ACAGCAUGAUGGAGACAUUUCCUGAUGAGGUCAUUUAAUCUUUCCCAUGACUCACGGAACUGCUCACCAUCUUGUUGUGAGAAGCUAGUGAGAGCUCUUCUUUUUU
RNAcentral lists this small nucleolar RNA (106 nucleotides) under Cephalotus follicularis. RNAcentral describes it as "Plant small nucleolar RNA R71". It matches the Rfam family "Plant small nucleolar RNA R71". From Rfam's summary of the family: R71 is a member of the C/D box family of snoRNAs containing the C (UGAUGA) and D (CUGA) box motifs. Multiple nearly identical copies of this snoRNA have been identified in Arabidopsis, and it is thought to function as a 2'-O-ribose methylation guide for 18S ribosomal RNA. The record is from Rfam by way of RNAcentral. Lineage: Eukaryota; Viridiplantae; Streptophyta; Magnoliopsida; Oxalidales; Cephalotaceae.